This 492-nucleotide ribosomal RNA is filed under the name uncultured bacterium. RNAcentral's name for it is "partial 16S ribosomal RNA". It matches the Rfam family "Bacterial small subunit ribosomal RNA", at positions 33 to 507 of the family's 1533-position model. The record is from RNAcentral.
ACGCUGGCGGCGUGCCUAAUACAUACAAGUCGAGCGCACAGACGAGGAGCUUGCUCCUCUGACGUUAGCGGCGGACGGGUGAGUAACACGUGGAUAACCUACCUAUAAGACUGGGAUAACUUCGGGAAACCGGAGCUAAUACCGGAUAAUAUAUUGAACCGCAUGGUUCAAUAGUGAAAGACGGUUUUGCUGUCACUUAUAGAUGGAUCCGCGCCGCAUUAGCUAGUUGGUAAGGUAACGGCUUACCAAGGCAACGAUGCGUAGCCGACCUGAGAGGGUGAUCGGCCACACUGGAACUGAGACACGGUCCAGACUCCUACGGGAGGCAGCAGUAGGGAAUCUUCCGCAAUGGGCGAAAGCCUGACGGAGCAACGCCGCGUGAGUGAUGAAGGUCUUCGGAUCGUAAAACUCUGUUAUUAGGGAAGAACAAAUGUGUAAGUAACUAUGCACGUCUUGACGGUACCUAAUCAGAAAGCCACGGCUAACUACGUG